AACGUAGGAGGCAAGCGUUAUCCGGAUUUAUUGGGCGUAAAGCGCGUGCAGGCGGUCUAUCAAGUUGGAUGUGAAAGCUCCCGGCUUAACUGGGAGAGGUCGUUCAAAACUGAUAGACUAGAGAAUGGGAGAGGGAGGUGGAAUUCCGGGUGUAGUGGUGAAAUGCGUAGAUAUCCGGAGGAACACCAGUGGCGAAAGCGGCCUCCUAGACCAUUUCUGACGCUAAGACGCGAAAGCUAGGGUAGCAAACGGGAUUAGAUACCCCCGUA
This 269-nucleotide ribosomal RNA is filed under the name uncultured prokaryote. RNAcentral's name for it is "partial 16S ribosomal RNA". It matches the Rfam family "Bacterial small subunit ribosomal RNA", at positions 524 to 792 of the family's 1533-position model. The record is from RNAcentral.